RNAcentral lists this long non-coding RNA (212 nucleotides) under Salvator merianae (Argentine black and white tegu). RNAcentral's name for it is "lncRNA (ENSSMRG00000012574.1)". Lineage: Eukaryota; Metazoa; Chordata; Lepidosauria; Squamata; Teiidae. The record is from RNAcentral.
GACAAAUCAGCUGGAGCAUCUUCGUUCCUGCCUUAUCAAAGAGCUUGAAAGUUUUGAAAAAGACUCACAGAUUUUAAGGAAUAUGGAAAAAGACUUUUCAAACUUUUCAAAGAAGCAUAGUGAAACAUUUAGCAUUUACAACAAAAAUGAGCAAGAGAGACUUCAGAAUCUUAAAACUUCAUUUGAGAAGAGCAUGUAUUCUGACUCUGAGG